This 253-nucleotide ribosomal RNA is filed under the name uncultured bacterium. Its description in RNAcentral is "partial 16S ribosomal RNA". It matches the Rfam family "Bacterial small subunit ribosomal RNA", at positions 524 to 776 of the family's 1533-position model. The record is from RNAcentral.
UACGUAGGGGGCAAGCGUUGUCCGGAUUUAUUGGGCGUAAAGCGCUCGCAGGCGGCUUGCUACGUCGUGCGUGAAACACCCCGGCUCAACUGGGGAGGGUCGUGCGAUACGGGCAGGCUGGAGGCCAGUAGGGGGAUGCGGAAUUCCCGGUGUAGCGGUGAAAUGCGCAGAUAUCGGGAAGAACACCCGUGGCGAAGGCGGCGACCUGGGCCAAUAUUGACGCUGAGGUGCGAAAGCGUGGGGAGCAAACAGG